Long non-coding RNA from Clupea harengus (Atlantic herring), 446 nucleotides. NCBI's taxonomy places the organism in Eukaryota, Metazoa, Chordata, Actinopteri, Clupeiformes, Clupeidae. The record is from Ensembl.
CUUACAGGUUUAUUCUGGACAUUAUCUGGCUAGUGUUGCAGACGCUUUUUGAUCUUUCUUGAUUAAUUACUUUAUUUUAGGUCAAGUAUCGACUGACUUCAACUUUCAGACUCAUAAAGUGUGGGUUCACACACAAUGGUGGUCGAAGUUUCAGGUGAGCUACGGGGUGGCCAACCACCACACGUGCCACCCUUAUUGGAGUUUUCAUGUCUUGGAGGCCAAACUGAUAGCCUGAUCCAGUCCUUAAUGGAGACGGUAAAGGAGGCGGCUGCCUCCCAGUCGGUGGAGGAUGAGGGCUGGAUGUCGUACGUGUUCAGCAUGAUUCGGCAGGCUAUAUCAGAGCAGGAUGCACGCGCCAAAUGCUUGGCCACCCUGCUCCAGCUGAAAGAGUCCGACCUCGUUCAGAGUACUCAGGCCCAACUCAACCUGCUGUCCUGUCAACCAAG